AAAAGUGGUUCUGAACUGUCGGACGUUAUACGGAGAUGAUCUGAACGUCAAUCUGACAACGCGUGUUUGCUGGAUCAAUUGAUGGCAGAAGGUAGAUGAUCUUGUCUUUGAAAAGUCUGCACAACACUGCACCAUCAAGUGUUCUACCUUCCUCCAACACUGUUUGACCAACCUGGUGUGUUCCAGGAUCUCAUGUGCAGCCCACUCCUUCCGAAACUGCACGGCAGACACUAUAUGACCUUGCUCU
Pimephales promelas (fathead minnow) is the source of this 247-nucleotide non-coding RNA. NCBI's taxonomy places the organism in Eukaryota, Metazoa, Chordata, Actinopteri, Cypriniformes, Leuciscidae. The record is from RefSeq and is a predicted model, not a curated record.